GGUUGGUCCGAUGGUAGUGAGUUAUCUCACUUGAUUGUUCAGUCAGUUACAGAAUCCUUGUUCUACCACUUUCCCCCCUUCUCACUACUGCACCUGACUAGUCUUAA
RNAcentral lists this Y RNA (107 nucleotides) under Microcebus murinus (gray mouse lemur). RNAcentral describes it as "Y RNA (ENSMICG00000034274.2)". It matches the Rfam family "Y RNA". From Rfam's summary of the family: Y RNAs are components of the Ro ribonucleoprotein particle (Ro RNP), in association with Ro60 and La proteins. The Y RNAs and Ro60 and La proteins are well conserved, but the function of the Ro RNP is not known. In humans the RNA component can be one of four small RNAs -- hY1, hY3, hY4 and hY5. The record is from Rfam by way of RNAcentral. Lineage: Eukaryota; Metazoa; Chordata; Mammalia; Primates; Cheirogaleidae.